RNAcentral lists this non-coding RNA (29 nucleotides) under Mus musculus (house mouse). The record is from RNAcentral. Lineage: Eukaryota; Metazoa; Chordata; Mammalia; Rodentia; Muridae.
UGCAUCCAGAACUACUCUUCAGGAGAUGC